Molecule: long non-coding RNA, 4202 nt
Organism: Pogoniulus pusillus (Red-fronted tinkerbird)
Lineage: Eukaryota; Metazoa; Chordata; Aves; Piciformes; Lybiidae
Exons: 6
Source: RefSeq, a predicted model, not a curated record
ACUCCUUCCUCUUUGCCUGAAAUAUCCUCUGUUUUACCCUAGGAUCACUGUCGUGAAUUUGAAAGCAUCCUUGAUGCGGGAGACUUACUCAGGGACCACGGCGUUGCAUCUCAAUUAAGUGAAGAAAUCUUAACAGUGCUUAGAAGACUGUCAUUGUUAUUGUGUUUGAUCCAGAAAUAAAGUCAUUCUUAAUAACACCCUUUCUUCAAGUACCUUGUACAUGCUGGAAACUGAUGAAGUAGGCAUGAAAAAUAAGAAAGGCUCCUGUUUUUCUGUAGACCCUCAUCUGCUGCCUACAGCGAAUACUGGAUAGCAUAUGAAACAGAAAUGAGCUUUAAGUGACAUUCACACCCCCUAAUCUGAGCUCUUUGCAAUUAUUUUAUAAUCUUACAAGAGAAGCAUUAACAGCUGAUUGAGACUACAGAUGAUACAGUAGCUAUGCUUUCUACACCAUGUGUGACCCAUCAGCUCUAUACAGGGGCUCUGCUUUUCACUGCACUUUACUACAACAACUACCUGACUGCUUAAAUAUGCUGUGGCAAGACAAGAUAAAUCAGAGAACAGUGUGAAAAAGAAAUGAAGUUCUGAGAAAGAGGUGAGACAAUACCCAAGACCUUGCAGUUAUUUGUUCUGCCUGAGCCAGAGGAAUGAUGCUGACAGUUGUCCUCAGAGAGAAAAAGGAGCUAUCAGAUGAAAUUGUAAUAUGAAAAGUUUGAAUCAACAAGCCUCUUGUUACUAAGUUAUCAAUGGACAUUUGUGGUGUUAAGUUGAUAGAAGCUUGAAAAAGAAUUGGAAAGAAAACCCAUGAACUACUCAAAAAGCUAUUGAAUAAGAAGAAUUUAUCUAUUUCAGCUAGUUUUGAACUGCAAAUAUGUGUGGUCUGCAAAAGUAAACUCAGGAAGUGUAAUUGUUCUUCUAUAGACAUCCACUGCUGGCUAACAUCAGAGUCAAGACUCGAUCUCACCUGGCACAAAGAUGAGUGGUCUAUUAUGUUCUGUACUUAUUUUUUACAUUUCAUUAAAUAAACUUUCCUUUUCUUAUAUAGCACUAAAACCAGAUUUCACAGGUACUUUAUUCUGCUUCAUGUUGUAUUUCAGAGGGUUCUUUGGGUUUUUUGUUGAUGGUGGUAGUGGUGGUUUUUGUUGAUAAGUUCAUUUUAAGUUAUUAGGAUAAUCCUGCUGCAGAUGGAACACAGGGCAGUGCUACUGUUAACAUGAUGAAUAGUAACAUUUUUGGGUUUGAGAUACUCACUAUAAAAAUAUUAGAUUGCUAUUAUAAUUCAGCUUUUGCUGUGCUAAUAUCUUAAUUAAGCCUGAUGAUAUUUCAGGGGGGCAGGGAUUUCUAGAUCUAUCUUUGUUAAAAGGAGUUCACUAGACCCACGUAUUGGAAUUCAAUAAUCAAGUGGAACAUGAUAUAUGGACUACACCUAUGUGGCCAAGUUGAUCAUCCUGUUUUGCUUGAGAGUCAGAUUUGGCUGAUUAGCAACUCUGCAUAUACACUAAGCAAGGUUGCAAGGUUCAACACCUGACGUGCUUGUUAAGGACAUGAAAGCAAUCUGUAACAGCUUGGCCUGAGGGCUGCAGAGCGUUUUUCACUGCAGUUCGGAAAGAGAAGCCAGUACCUGCAACCCCUUCUUUUCUUCCCUGAUGUGUUCUCUGAGGAGUGACGGAGCAAGGAACUUAAAGUCAAUGGAGACAACUAGGCAUUUUCUCCUGGACAGCAUGCUAGCAGCACCAUAACUGCCCUUUGCACUUCCAUGACUGAGAUCUGUUUCCCAGCUCUUUUUACAUUUCACAUGACAUGCAAAUGAAUUAAUCUUCAGACUGUUCCUACACAGUAGGCAAAUGUUGCUCUUAAAUAAAAGAAUCCAGCUGCUCAACUUGCCAGAAGACAGCAGUCAGGCAGUGAGAGGGAGAAGUCUGAAACUGCCCUGCAGCUGAGCUCAGAAUCCAGGAAUUCUUUUCCUUCUUGGUAUUGCAUUGAGGUCAUCUCACUCUUUGAUGUAGCCUAGAAAAUGUAAUGAGCUAUUAAAAACUGGAUACAUUUCCCCAGUAAAUUAGAAACAUUUACAAGUCCAACACUGAUCAUAAAACAUAGAUAGCACUUCUCAUAAUAAAAAUGUAACCAUAUUUUUUCCAUAUAUUUUAGAUUGUGUGAACUGUGGUCUUUCACUCUUUGGCUUGCAGUUUACUUUGUUACAUAAUUGUUACAUAUGAUUAAAGGUCGACCAAGUUAAAACUAUAUUUUGUUGGAGGAAACACAUAAAAAAUAUUUGAUCUUGCCCUACCAUUUUACUUAGACCUUCUGCAGAGCUGGGUUACAAUGUGCCAGUAUUAAUAAAACAAGAUGUAUCUUAGAAUCUAUAUUGUAUAAUUCAUAAACAUUUCAAGGUACCUGUAAACUUAGGUUAACACGUCUCAGGGAGUUAAAAAGGCAGCCAUUGUAUGCUCAUUGAGUUCUGUACAGUACAACCAUGUUCUUGAGCAACUGGACACAUAGAAAUAUUUAGUUCCAAUGCCAACUUUCAUCACUGCUUGGAAGUAAACAACUAAACUAAGAAAAGAAAUCAAGGAAUUAGAACAAACCUCAUUGCUUUCUAUCUCAAAUCUAACCUCUAAAUAUAAAUUAUUGAAUACUUUGUUUUAAGAACUUAAGCAUCUGUUCACUGUAUUUUUACUUUAAACAGAUGCUGUAGAUACAGAUGUAGUCUUUUUGCAUUUACCCAGACCUGAUGUUAUUAAGAAUAUCCACAUGAGAAAAGGUUACAAAGAUGAUCCCUGUAAGAAGGUGAAUCAGAUGGCAUAUAUUGUAAUACAGAGUACAUUUUGCUGUAGCUGACUGACAUGUUUAGAAAAGCAGAUACUUUGAUGAGAAGAUCAACUGCACAAUAUUCUCCUAGAAUCUUCUCCAGAGUCUCAAUGCAAACUAACAUAAGGAUGCAACAUAUGUGUCAAGAGAAAUAAACACACAUUAAACCAGACAUUCAUUUUUCUCAAACUAAGCUCCAAAAGCACAUGCAGCAGAAUACUAGGAAAAAGUAGAAAUGCCAACUUUACAGCAAGUCACAUUUCAGAUGAAGAAAAGCUUUUAUAUGAAGUUGUAUCCACAGUCACUAGUGUAAAAUAUUAAUAGCUUCAGUUGUACCACUCUCUCAUGGAAUAGAAAGUGUUCAUAGGAUAGAAUCAUUUGAUUUAAAAAUCCUGCUGUUCAACAAGUACACGGUAUUUGUAGUUAAAGAUUAUCAUCUGUUGGUUGAUACACAGAAACGUUGGUGAUGUCUGGUCAAUGAUUUUAUUCGAAUGUGAGACCAGAGCUUAACAUAAAGCAGCCUAAUGUAAAAUUAUAAAAGACUGUUGUUGAGCUUAUUAGAUGAUCUUAAUUUUAAUGACUUGGUUAACCUAAAAUGCUCUUCCUGUUUUUCAUGUGAAGAGCACUCUGGUUAAGUGUUGUAUGCGUUUGUCCUUUUUUCACAAAAUGGCCUGGGAGGAACUGAACAGCAUCCUACUUCCCCUCUCUGUAUGCUGGAGGUUUUGGCAGUAAGAAAGUUCAAAUCCUCAAACAAACAGCCCUGGUGCCCAGAAACCAUUUUUUCCUUUAACAGAUUUAUUGCUUGAAGAGGUAUUCAUGUCAGAAGGCUCAACAGUAUUGUUACAGGGUUUUUUUCCCUGCACACAGAAAAUGUAAAAGGAAUUCAGCUGUACUUCAGUGAAACAGCAUUAUCAUCCCAGGAAUGAACAAACUGAUUUGUUAUGUCCUUAACAAAAAGCAAGUCAACUUCUAAAUAGUGAUGUGGGAUUGUUGUGAAACUAUGGCCCAGUAUGCUGUCAGAGAUAACGACUCUGCUAUUUCAGUGGUAGCUCUAAUUUCGCUGUACAUCCUUUCUGACUGCCUGAGGAAAGCAAGAGUGGGUCACGUUGGCUCUGUCAAUACUAAUACCACAGGACAAACUUGAACGACGAUAGUCAGGCAGGACUGAAAAUCUGGUGAUGUGACCUCCUAAUGCAGCCUCCUAGUCCUGUGGGAAAUGAUUAACAGGUGUAUUUGAUUUUCAAAGUUCUGGUCUUAGAAAGUUCAAAAAAUGAUUACUGUUUGGAAUUAAUGGGUGCCUGCCAUCUCAGGAUCUCAAGUGAAUAUAACCUUCCUAGGAAGCAAAUACUGCCGUCCUUAGUUCAAAGGUAUUAAAAAGAAGACAUGCAAAGAUU